UUGGUUAGUCCGCAACGAGCGCAACCCUUGUCAUUAGUUGCCAUCAUUUAGUUGGGCACUCUAAUGAGACUGCCGGUGACAAACCGGAGGAAGGUGGGGAUGACGUCAAGUCCUCAUGGCCCUUAUGGGUAGGGCUUCACACGUCAUACAAUGGUCAGUACAGAGGGUUGCCAAGCCGCGAGGUGGAGCCAAUCCCUUAAAGCCGAUCGUAGUCCGGAUCGUAGUCUGCAACUCGACUACGUGAAGUCGGAAUCGCUAGUAAUCGCAGAUCAGCAUGCUGCGGUGAAUACGUUCCCGGGUCUU
This 303-nucleotide ribosomal RNA is filed under the name uncultured Thauera sp. RNAcentral describes it as "bacterial SSU rRNA". It matches the Rfam family "Bacterial small subunit ribosomal RNA", at positions 1074 to 1382 of the family's 1533-position model. Lineage: Bacteria; Pseudomonadati; Pseudomonadota; Betaproteobacteria; Rhodocyclales; Zoogloeaceae. The record is from RNAcentral.